This 492-nucleotide ribosomal RNA is filed under the name uncultured bacterium. RNAcentral's name for it is "partial 16S ribosomal RNA". It matches the Rfam family "Bacterial small subunit ribosomal RNA", at positions 29 to 507 of the family's 1533-position model. The record is from RNAcentral.
AGUGAACGCUGGCGGUAGGCCUAACACAUGCAAGUCGAACGGCAGCACAGUAAGAGCUUGCUCUUACGGGUGGCGAGUGGCGGACGGGUGAGGAAUACAUCGGAAUCUACUUUUUCGUGGGGGAUAACGUAGGGAAACUUACGCUAAUACCGCAUACGCCCUACGGGUGAAAGCAGGGGAUCUUCGGACCUUGCGCGAUUGAAUGAGCCGAUGUCGGAUUAGCUAGUUGGCGGGGUAAAGGCCCACCAAGUGGACGAUCCGUAGCUGGUCUGAGAGGAUGAUCAGCCACACUGGAACUGAGACACGGUCCCGGCUCCUACGGUAGGCAGCAGUGGGGAAUAUUGGACAAUGGGCGCAAGCCUUAUCCAGCCAUACCGCGUGGGUGAAGAAGGCCUUCGGGUUGUAAAGCCCUUUUGUUGGGAAAGAAAAGCAGCAGGUUAAUACCCCGCUGUUCUGACGGCACCCAAAGAAUAAGCACCGGCUAACUUCGUG